UAAUACGUAGGGGGCGAGCGUUGUCCGGAAUUAUUGGGCGUAAAGAGCGUGUAGGCGGUUUGGUAAGUCUGCCGUGAAAACCUGGGGCUCAACCCCGGGCGUGCGGUGGAAACUGCCAGGCUAGAGGAUGGUAGAGGCGAGUGGAAUUCCGAGUGUAGCGGUGAAAUGCGCAGAUAUUCGGAGGAACACCAGUAGCGAAGGCGGCUCGCUGGGCCAUACCUGACGCUGAGACGCGAAAGCGUGGGGAGCGAACAGGAUUAGAUACCCUGGUAGUCCACGCCGUAAACGAUGAACACUAGGUGUUGGGGGAGUCGAAUCCCUCGGUGCCGCAGCCAACGCGUUAAGUGUUCCGCCUGGGGAGUACGGCCGCAAGGCU
Molecule: ribosomal RNA, 376 nt
Filed under: uncultured bacterium
Lineage: Bacteria
Description: bacterial SSU rRNA
Rfam family: Bacterial small subunit ribosomal RNA
Source: RNAcentral